Molecule: ribosomal RNA, 319 nt
Filed under: uncultured bacterium
Lineage: Bacteria
Description: bacterial SSU rRNA
Rfam family: Bacterial small subunit ribosomal RNA
Source: RNAcentral
GAUGAACGCUAGCGGCAGGCCUAAUACAUGCAAGUCUAAAGGGCAGCAAUGUCCUUGGCGCACGGGUGCGUAACACGUAUGCAACCUGCCCACAACUGGGGGAUAACUUUCCGAAAGGGAGGAUAAUACCGCAUAAAACAGGGUCCGCAUGGGAAUAUUGUUAAAGCUUCGGCGGUUGUGGAUGGGCAUGCGGACGAUUAGCUAGUUGGCGGGGUAACGGCCCACAAGGCAACGAUCGUUAGGGGAACUGAGAGGUUGGUCCCCCACACUGGCACUGAGAUACGGGCCAGACUCCUACGGGAGGCAGCAGUAGGGAAUA